Cyprinus carpio carpio is the source of this 1306-nucleotide long non-coding RNA. The record is from Ensembl. Lineage: Eukaryota; Metazoa; Chordata; Actinopteri; Cypriniformes; Cyprinidae.
GUGUGGGGGAGGGAGGGCUGCUAAAAGCAGAGAACUUGAUUGACCUCAAGAAAAGAAAAUGCAGAGAAGACUCACCACUCGGCAGGCCUUGGAAAUGAUCCUGAGUGAAGUAAACCCUUGUGACUCAGAUGGAGAAGACAUAGAACUUCAGCCGGAUUCGGACUCAGAUCUGUCUGAUCUGUCUUCAGAUGAGGAGACUGCUCCUCAACCAAAAAAGAGAGCCCGUUUGGGGACUGACCUGACAGAGACAGUGAAAGAUGGCACAGUGUGGCGUGAAGAACAGGUGGGGACGCGUCUCCCUUUCACCCCAAUCAAAGCGUAUGCUGCAGAUGGAGAGCCAACGGCUAUGGCCAGGAAAAGUAUCUCGAGUCGCCUUCAGAGCUUCCUAUUCAACAUGCACAGGAAACGGAGCAUGUUCAUUGGUUCAUGGCCCUCCCUGAACUAAUGGCAUUUAUUGCAAUUGUCAUCUUGCGGGGGCUUACCAAGGUUCCAUCACUACGUGACUGCUGGUCAGCAAACCUGGGAAACCCACAUAUCAUUGGAACAAUGCCGCGAAACCGCUUCCAAGACAUCAUGCGACACCUACGCUUUGAUGACAGGUCCACCCGGAGUGAUCGAGCAAAGACUGAUAAGUUUGCUGCAAUUUCCAGUGUUUUCAACCACUGCUGCUACGCUGACGGCGUAUGCGCCCAAACGGAAGAAGACCGUCUACAUUCUUAGCAGCAUGCACAGCGUGAUUCAGACUGAUAAUACCACCAAAAGGAAGCCAAACACUGUCACCCUUUACAACACCACAAAGUGCGGCGUGGAUGUGAUGGACCAGAUGGUGCGGGAGUACACUAUCCGCACAGGGACACGGCGCUGGCCAGUUGCCGUGUUCUAUAACAUGAUUGACAUGGCAGCACUGAAUGCACAUGUGCUGUAUCAAGCAUCCACCGAAAGGCAGGAAAGACGGGUGGACUUCCUGGUGGAGCUUGCAAGAGAGUUGGCUAACUCUCAUAUGUGUGCGAAGAAGGCAAGAAAAGAACAAUUGCUUCGGACACAACCCUCCACACCUAGCCCUGGAAAAAGAGCCAUGUGUCAGGUCAAACACCAAUGCAAGAACAAUCAUGCCACUGUGCGAUGUGUUCACUGCUACAGAUACACAUGUGGUAAAUGCAGACGGGAGAUACCAUGGCAGUGCCAGGAUUGUGAGUGAUUGCUGGAUUACUCACUCACUUUUUAAUAUUAUUUGUAAAUAUGUGUACAAAUGGUUGGUUUCUUUAUUUUAUUUUGUACUAUUUUUAUCAAUAAAUCUCAGCAACAA